RNAcentral lists this ribosomal RNA (476 nucleotides) under uncultured bacterium. RNAcentral's name for it is "partial 16S ribosomal RNA". It matches the Rfam family "Bacterial small subunit ribosomal RNA", at positions 29 to 506 of the family's 1533-position model. The record is from RNAcentral.
AUGAACGCUGGCGGCGUGCUUAACACAUGCAAGUCGAACGGGAAACCUUUUAAUGAAGCUUCGGCAGAUUUAGCUGGUUUCUAGUGGCGGACGGGUGAGUAACGCGUGGGUAACCUGCCUUAUACAGGGGGAUAACAGUCAGAAAUGACUGCUAAUACCGCAUAAGCGCACAGGACCGCAUGGUCCGGUGUGAAAAACCCCGGUGGUAUAAGAUGGACCCGCGUUGGAUUAGCUUGUUGGUGGGGUAACGGCUCACCAAGGCGACGAUCCAUAGCCGGCCUGAGAGGGUGAACGGCCACAUUGGGACUGAGACACGGCCCAGACUCCUACGGGAGGCAGCAGUGGGGAAUAUUGCACAAUGGGGGAAACCCUGAUGCAGCGACGCCGCGUGAAGGAAGAAGUAUCUCGGUAUGUAAACUUCUAUCAGCAGGGAAGAUAGUGACGGUACCUGACUAAGAAGCCCCGGCUAACUACGU